Molecule: long non-coding RNA, 864 nt
Organism: Notolabrus celidotus (New Zealand spotty)
Lineage: Eukaryota; Metazoa; Chordata; Actinopteri; Labriformes; Labridae
Exons: 3
Source: RefSeq, a predicted model, not a curated record
AUAUAUACAGGUGCGAGUGAUUGCUCACCCUCUCCUCCCGCUCCCGUCCACUUCCCGGUGUGGCUCGGCGUCUGCGGUGUGCGUGGUUUUGGUCGUCAGACCAGGAUUCAAUCUGGUACCUGUUCAAUGUGGCUGAGGCUGACUGGCUGCCGUGGUGGACAGGUUGCUCUGCAGGAGCCUAUCCUUGUGUUUUGCGUCUCGUGUCCUGAGUUAAUUGGAGCAGCAGGCCCUCACUCGGCUCUUCCUCCAGCCUUGGAUUCAGCUGGCGCUGUUUGUUUCUGACUGCAACUACAUGAAAGAUUCAGGACCGGACAGAGGGGACGUAGUGACUCUGAUCCUUUAUACAAACUGUUAAUCCUCUUGCACGGGAGGAUAUUGUUCGCGCUGUUACUCCCCGAUCUGCCGGAGACGCAGGUGAGCGUCAGCAGCAGGGGCGUCUCAGCGCUCUGCGGACUCUGCAGCCCGGUCGUCAGGCGGCUGCAUGCAGGUUUCUUUCAUUAAUUUUAGUAGUGCAUUGCUUUAUGAUGGGUUUGGUUGUUUGUUUCUUUAUAUUGGUUUUGAGUCAUUAAUUUUCCUUUUCCUUUAAUGUAGGUAUAUUUUGUGUUAAUCUGUUGUUUGUGGGUAUUUUGUUGUCUUUCUCUUUAUUUGCAUGAGUGUGGUUAUUUUCAUUUGGUUAUUUUGCAUUCCGUUAUUUGAUUCAGUAUUUUGAUUUGCAUGAGUGUUUCUUUUCAUUGCUUUGGUUGUUUUCCUUAAUUGAUUUGUUUGGAUUUAUUUGAGUGAGUUUAGUUACUUCAGAAUUGUUUUGUUUGUUGUUGUGUGUUUUAAAAAGAACUGUCUUAAAAAUAAAUAGUUUUCCAAUUGUAA